Molecule: long non-coding RNA, 828 nt
Organism: Erigeron canadensis
Lineage: Eukaryota; Viridiplantae; Streptophyta; Magnoliopsida; Asterales; Asteraceae
Exons: 2
Source: RefSeq, a predicted model, not a curated record
UCCUGCCAAUAACAACUUUAUGAGUUUUUAAUUGCGUGUAUAAAAUAGUCGUAUUCAAUGGUUUAGUUUUUGGUACAUAAAUAAAUGUAUGUUGAUGACAAUCUCUAGUUAACAUUUUAUUUGAUAUUAUUCUCAAAUUCAAACAUGUCCAUCCAUUAACAUGAAAUCAGAUGAUCUUAUAAAGGUCGAAAAGUUAUUGUGUACAUAAACUUACAAAACAUUUAUUGUAUACAUGAACCCUGCUAAUUUUCUAUUUUAUACCAAAACCGGCUAAAGGCUGAUAUGGGCCCGGUUGUGAUGACACGUUGCCUAUAAAAACCCAGUUUUCCCCAUUUUUUCACAUAAUCUUUUUCCCUCCCCUUUUUCCCCCCUUCUUUUUUUCUCCUUCUUUCUCCCGCUCUGAAGCUUCACCCAUCACCACCAUGGCAUCUUCUUCAUCAUCAUCGGCUGCUACAAAUCGAGGAGAUAGAUACAUAGUAUGUCAUUGUGGCCAAAAGAUGAAAUUGAUGACAUCAUGGACCAACAGAAACCCGGGGAGGCGUUUUGUUUGAUGCCCUAAUGUUAAAACCCGAUACUGUACCACCUUCAGAUUCAUUGACGAUGAGCUUCCUAGUGAGUACUACAAAGAUUUAUUGUUUGAUCUUUGCUUACAGGAUCGUAUGAAGGUGGAAGCUGUUUUAAUGGAAGAGGAUGAGGCGUCUUCAGUGAAAUUAACGUUUGGUUGCUUUUAAAGAUUUGUAUAUGUAUGUACCGGAUUUCUGGCCAUGUUUUUCGUUGUACUAGCUUUUGUUUUGAUGAACUAAUGGUCAUGUUUAAUUGUCAAAGUAA